RNAcentral lists this unclassified non-coding RNA (387 nucleotides) under fungal sp. RNAcentral describes it as "partial internal transcribed spacer region". The stretch from base 1 to 46 matches the Rfam family "Eukaryotic small subunit ribosomal RNA", at positions 1786 to 1831 of the family's 1831-position model. The record is from RNAcentral. Lineage: Eukaryota; Fungi.
AAGUCGUAACAAGGUUUCCGUAGGUGAACCUGCGGAAGGAUCAUUAACACGUAUCCAAACGUUAAACCCCCCUGUGAACCUUCACCUGUACUCGUACGUCCGUUAGAAAAAGCAGCAAUCCCUGGUAAAUCAUCGCCGAACAGUUUUCGAUUCAGAGGAGCGUGCAUGUUGUGCGAGCAAGUGGCCUGGCAUCCCCAAGCAGUUAGUGUCUGAAAGUGUCAUUAACUGUGUAAGGAUGACGCAGUCACGAUCGUUGGAGGCCCACACGGCCGACGACCGGGUCACUGGGCGCAAGCCCCCCUAUAACAAACGCUGCUAAUCGCGGCCGCGAUAAUACGCAGUCGACCAAAAACCGAACAACUGUUAACAAUGGAUAUCUUGGUUCUC